AUUGAACGCUGGCGGCAGGCCUAACACAUGCAAGUCGAGCGAGCGGCGGACGAGUGAGUAAUGUCUGGGAAACUGCCUGAUGGAGGGGGAUAACUACUGGAAACGGUAGCUAAUACCGCAUACCAUCGGAUGUGCCCAGAUGGGAUUAGCUAGUAGGUGGGGUAAAGGCUCACCUAGGCGACGAUCCCUAGCUGGGCUGAGAGGAUGACCAGCCACACUGGAACUGAGACACGGUCCAGACUCAGACGGGCGGCAGCAGUGGGGAAUAUUGCACAAUGGGCGAAAGCCUGAUGCAGGCAUGCCGCGUGUAUGAAGAAGGCCUUCGGGUUGUAAAGUACUUUCAGCGGGGAGGCGUUACCCGCAGAAGAAGCACCGGAUAACGCCGUGCCAGCAGCCGCGGUAAUUC
This 406-nucleotide ribosomal RNA is filed under the name uncultured bacterium. Its description in RNAcentral is "partial 16S ribosomal RNA". It matches the Rfam family "Bacterial small subunit ribosomal RNA", at positions 29 to 526 of the family's 1533-position model. The record is from RNAcentral.